CGUCCCCGGGUCAGGCGGGACUACCCGCUGAGUUUAAGCAUAUCAAUAAGCGGAGGA
This 57-nucleotide ribosomal RNA is filed under the name Elymus glaberrimus. Its description in RNAcentral is "partial 28S ribosomal RNA". The record is from RNAcentral. Lineage: Eukaryota; Viridiplantae; Streptophyta; Magnoliopsida; Poales; Poaceae.